CUGCGAUCUGUUGAGACUUAGCCCUUGAUCGGAUGAUUUG
This 40-nucleotide ribosomal RNA is filed under the name Meloidogyne hapla. RNAcentral's name for it is "partial 28S ribosomal RNA". The record is from RNAcentral. Lineage: Eukaryota; Metazoa; Nematoda; Chromadorea; Rhabditida; Meloidogynidae.